This 806-nucleotide unclassified non-coding RNA is filed under the name uncultured bacterium. Its description in RNAcentral is "partial contains 16S ribosomal RNA, 16S-23S ribosomal RNA intergenic spacer, and 23S ribosomal RNA". The stretch from base 693 to 806 matches the Rfam family "Bacterial large subunit ribosomal RNA", at positions 1 to 113 of the family's 2925-position model. The record is from RNAcentral.
GGAGCCUGCCCCGUGCAGAUUCUCCCGGCGCUCACUUUGGAAUCAUGCGUCAGGACUUCGAUCACCCUGACGUAAAUACAAUGGCGGGAUGCCGCCGCCUUCGUUUCUCUUUCUCGUCAUCACGCACGCUUCCAUUCGGGCCUGUAGCUCAGGUGGUUAGAGCGCACGCCUGAUAAGCGUGAGGUCGGUAGUUCAACUCUACCCAGGCCCACCAAUUUCGCAUUGGCGGUACCGGUGAGCUUGGGGAGGUGCUGGAUCUUGUUUGUCGUUCGGUCAUGCUGGUCAUGGUCGGCCUGCAGGCAACGACCCGGUUUCGGGGCCAUAGCUCAGCUGGGAGAGCGGUAGCUUUGCAAACUUCAGGUCGUCGGUUCGAUCCCGACUGGCUCCACCAUUCCUCCAUCGUUGGUCGAUUGACCGUUGCGUGACAGACAGAGAGUACAAGUUCCGCCCAUUCGUGGCGGCAACCGGCCGAUCGGCCGUAGACGAAAGUCCGACAUCGUGAAGAGGAGAUAUGCCGAAACAGUACCCGGUAACGUGGGUGCUGGCCGUUUUGGCGGGAUCAUGCGACCGCGUGAUCAUCGGUUUAUCUUGAAACGCUGGUCUUUCUAACGAUGCCAGCCCGUACCGAGCGGAAGCGCGCGCAGGAUUGGAUCCUCCGUACGCGUCUGUGGGUGGGCAUUGUUAAUGAGAACAAUCAAGUGACCUAAGGGCAUUUGGUGGAUGCCUUGGCGGUAAGAGGCGAUGAAGGACGUGGUACGCUGCGAAAAGCUACGGGGAGGUGCGAACACCCUUUGAUCCGUAGAUAU